Molecule: ribosomal RNA, 729 nt
Filed under: uncultured eukaryote
Lineage: Eukaryota
Description: SSU rRNA
Rfam family: Eukaryotic small subunit ribosomal RNA
Source: RNAcentral
CGGGUGCACUGAUCCAGCCGGGCCUUUCCCUCUGUGGAACCCCAUGGCCUUCACUGGCUGUGGUGGGGAAACAGGACUUUUACUUUGAAAAAAUUAGAGUGCUCCAGGCAGGCCUAUGCUCGAAUACAUUAGCAUGGAAUAAUAGAAUAGGACGUGUGGUUCUAUUUUGUUGGUUUCUAGGACCGCCGUAAUGAUUAAUAGGGACAGUCGGGGGCAUCAGUAUUCAAUUGUCAGAGGUGAAAUUCUUGGAUCUAUUGAAGACUAACUACUGCGAAAGCAUUUGCCAAGGAUGUUUUCAUUGAUAAGGAACGAAAGUUAGAGGAUCGAAGACGAUCAGAUACCGUCGUAGUCUUAACUAUAAACUAUGCCGACUAGGGAUCGGACGAUGUUAUUCUUUGACGCGUUCGGCACCUUUCGAGAAAUCAAAGUGCUUGGGCUCCAGGGGGAGUAUGGUCGCAAGGCUGAAACUUAAAGAAAUUGACGGAAGGGCACCACCAGGGGUGGAACCUGCGGCUUAAUUUGACUCAACACGGGGAAACUCACCAGGUCCAGACACAGUGAGGAUUGACAGAUUGAGAGCUCUUUCUUGAUUCUGUGGGUGGUGGUGCAUGGCCGUUCUUAGUUGGUGGAGUGAUUUGUCUGCUUAAUUGCGAUAACGAACGAGACCUUAACCUGCUAAAUAGCCCGUACUGCUUUGGCAGUUCGCCGGCUUCUUAGAGGGACUAUCGG